GACGAACGCUGGCGGCGUGCUUAACACAUGCAAGUCGAACGGAAAGGCCCUGCUUUUGUGUGGUGCUCGAUUGCCGAACGGGUGAGAAACACUUGUGUAUCCUCCCCUUGACUUUGUGAUAACUUCUGGAAACUGGGGCUAUUACCGGAUAUAAGCUCCUGCUCCAUGGUGGUGGUUGGAAAGUUUCGGCGGUUGUGGAUGGACUCGCGGCUUAUAAGCUUGUUGGUGGGGUAGUGGCUUACCAAGGCUUUGACGGGUAGCCGGCCUGAGAGGGUGACCGGCCACAUUGGGACUGAGAGACGGCCCAGACUGCUACGGGAGGCAGCAGUGGGGAAUAUGGCACAAUGGGCGGAAGCCUGAUGCAGCAACGCCGCGUGCGGGAUGACGGCCUUCGGGUUGUAACCCGCUGUCGCCUGUGACGAAGCGAGAGUGACGGUAAUGGGUAAAGAAGCACCGGCUAACUACGUG
RNAcentral lists this ribosomal RNA (468 nucleotides) under uncultured bacterium. RNAcentral describes it as "partial 16S ribosomal RNA". It matches the Rfam family "Bacterial small subunit ribosomal RNA", at positions 28 to 507 of the family's 1533-position model. The record is from RNAcentral.